Molecule: long non-coding RNA, 1783 nt
Organism: Sabethes cyaneus
Lineage: Eukaryota; Metazoa; Arthropoda; Insecta; Diptera; Culicidae
Exons: 2
Source: RefSeq, a predicted model, not a curated record
GUAUACGUGAAAACUAUUUUGCAGAAUAAGCCUUCAGUUACCGCUUCCGUUUCAUACUCAGCGACAGUCGCUAUGGUAGUUUAAAGCAAUGCAGCGGUUCAUUCAUUUGCAUUUCUAACUCACCGCGUUCAAGUGCAUUCCGCCUUGGCAGUUCAGCGAUAGUAAAUGUUGGUCGCGCAACUAAUGAACUUACUCCGGUCGGUCCCUCCACAGGUGAUACAUAUAUCAAGCGAAAUAGCUUUUUUUUGUGUGAGCCGGAAAGGCCGGAAAGUAGCGUAAAUGUUUGUUGCCGUGCAGGCUUAAGUACCAAAACGUGUCGUCUUUGUGAAUGGCCGUGUUAUUUAUGCAGGUGAAAAGUAUUUAAACAACGUAUUGUUUUUAUUGCCCGUUCGAAUAUGGGUCUUUCUCGCAAUUGUACGGAAGGGAUCAUCUUCGUGGCAGCAACUGCAGAACUGGCUGUUUCUAAAAUAUUUAAUUUGCAUUGUAACAUUUAAUUACUAUUGGAAACACAAACGUUUGUGUAUUUAAUACUUACGAAACGUACUAAACCGGAGAUGGCCAGUGAUUACUUGCCACUUGCCACUUGCCGAAGCCGAAGCACAAAAUGAAAACUUUGUUGCCAGUUUUCACAUAAGGCUUUUUCAAAUUUGCUUUUUAAGACCUAUAUAGUUUUUAAAUCACUAUGAUGUUUUGUAUUUACUAUAGAUACUUAAAAAAGCUUUAAAUAUAACCAAAAAACCAGUUUUUUUAUAUUUUGCACUUGGGUCCUAUUGAAAUGUUGCUCUUGAUACGCAGUUUGUGUUUUGUUUUGCUUUCGGCCCUAUUUUUGUUGUGAGAUUUCUACGCAUCGCAAGUGGCAAGUGGCAAGUAAUCACUGGCCAUCUCCGGUUUAGUACGUUUCAAACAGCCAGUUCUGCAGUUGCUGCCACGAAGAUGAUCCCUUCCGUACAAUUGCGAGAAAGACCCAUAUUCGAACGGGCAAUAAAAACAAUACGUUGUUUAAAUACUUUUCACCUGCAUAAAUAACACGGCCAUUCACAAAGACGACACGUUUUGGUACUUAAGCCUGCACGGCAACAAACAUUUACGCUACUUUCCGGCCUUUCCGGCUCACACAAAAAAAAGCUAUUUCGCUUGAUAUAUGUAUCACCUGUGGAGGGACCGACCGGAGUAAGUUCAUUAGUUGCGCGACCAACAUUUACUAUCGCUGAACUGCCAAGGCGGAAUGCACUUGAACGCGGUGAGUUAGAAAUGCAAAUGAAUGAACCGCUGCAUUGCUUUAAACUACCAUAGCGACUGUCGCUGAGUAUGAAACGGAAGCGGUAACUGAAGGCUUAUUCUGCAAAAUAGUUUUCACGUAUACAGAAAAAUAUCCACACACUAUCACCUUUGCUAGAAAUUAAAGAUCCAGAAAAUUUUCGAGAUGAUUAUAAAGAGGACACAUCAAACAUCGGUGGAUGUCGUUCAUGACGUGGAAUCUUAAUUUGAGCUAGAAGAUUGCUGCUAAUAGUCGUAAACUAACUGGAAAGGAAAUUGUUAUUGUAUGAUAAUACGCUGACCGGGUCGGAUUUGAAGUUCCUGAUAGACCCGGUGAACUGAUUAAAAAUGUACAGAUAGAUGAUUCGCUUUUGCAGCAUAUUGAGGCUCUGGAAAAUCCGAUCGAAUGACGGCGAUGAAAAAUAUGUGUCGAAAGCUUUUGAUUGGCGUUGAUGAAAGAACAAUGAUUUAGAAAAUUGUCAAUUUCUCAAUAAGAAUGCCAAAAUAAACAUUUUUUCUUGAAGAA